Molecule: ribosomal RNA, 1101 nt
Filed under: uncultured bacterium
Lineage: Bacteria
Description: bacterial SSU rRNA
Rfam family: Bacterial small subunit ribosomal RNA
Source: RNAcentral
AGGGCGCCGUGCCCUAAAUACAUGCAAGUCGAGCGGACAAGAUGGGAGCUUGCUCCCUGAUGUUAGCGGCGGACGGGUGAGUAACACGUGGGUAACCUGCCUGUAAGACUGGGAUAACUCCGGGAAACCGGGGCUAAUACCGGAUGGUUGUUUGAACCGCAUGGUUCAAACAUAAAAGGUGGCUUCGGCUACCACUUACAGAUGGACCCGCGGCGCAUUAGCUAGUUGGUGAGGUAAUGGCUCACCAAGGCAACGAUGCGUAGCCGACCUGAGAGGGUGAUCGGCCACACUGGGACUGAGACACGGCCCAGACUCCUACGGGAGGCAGCAGUAGGGAAUCUUCCGCAAUGGACGAAAGUCUGACGGAGCAACGCCGCGUGAGUGAUGAAGGUUUUCGGAUCGUAAAGCUCUGUUGUUAGGGAAGAACAAGUACCGUUCGAAUAGGGCGGUACCUUGACGGUACCUAACCAGAAAGCCACGGCUAACUACGUGCCAGCAGCCGCGGUAAUACGUAGGUGGCAAGCGUUGUCCGGAAUUAUUGGGCGUAAAGGGCUCGCAGGCGGUUUCUUAAGUCUGAUGUGAAAGCCCCCGGCUCAACCGGGGAGGGUCAUUGGAAACUGGGGAACUUGAGUGCAGAAGAGGAGAGUGGAAUUCCACGUGUAGCGGUGAAAUGCGUAGAGAUGUGGAGGAACACCAGUGGCGAAGGCGACUCUCUGGUCUGUAACUGACGCUGAGGAGCGAAAGCGUGGGGAGCGAACAGGAUUAGAUACCCUGGUAGUCCACGCCGUAAACGAUGAGUGCUAAGUGUUAGGGGGUUUCCGCCCCUUAGUGCUGCAGCUAACGCAUUAAGCACUCCGCCUGGGGAGUACGGUCGCAAGACUGAAACUCAAAGGAUUUGACGGGGGCCCGCACAAGCGGUGGGAGCAUGUGGUUUAAUUCGAAGCAACGCGAAGAACCUUACCAGGUCUUGACAUCCUCUGACAUCCUAGAGAUAGGACGUCCCCUUCGGGGGCAGAGUGACAGGUGGUGCAUGGCUGUCGUCAGCUUCGUGUCGUGAAGAAUGUUGGGUUAAGUCCCGCAACGGAGCGCAACCUUUGAAUU